This 104-nucleotide non-coding RNA is filed under the name uncultured Butyricimonas sp. Lineage: Bacteria; Pseudomonadati; Bacteroidota; Bacteroidia; Bacteroidales; Odoribacteraceae. The record is from RNAcentral.
UUCUGAAGGGGUGCCUAAGAAGCGAGGGAAAUUCCCGAACUUUGGCUGAGAUUAUACCCGUGAACCUGAUCCGGAUAAUGCCGGCGGAGGGAGAGAGAGUUAUA